GAUGAACGCUGGCGGCGUGCCUAAUACAUGCAAGUCGAGCGAACAGACGAGGAGCUUGCUCCUCUGACGUUAGCGGCGGACGGGUGAGUAACACGUGGAUAACCUACCUAUAAGACUGGGAUAACUUCGGGAAACCGGAGCUAAUACCGGAUAAUAUAUUGAACCGCAUGGUUCAAUAGUGAAAGACAGUUUUGCUGUCACUUAUAGAUGGAUCCGCGCCGCAUUAGCUAGUUGGUAAGGUAACGGCUUACCAAGGCAACGAUGCGUAGCCGACCUGAGAGGGUGAUCGGCCACACUGGAAGUGAGACACGGUCCAGACUCCUACGGGAGGCAGCAGUAGGGAAUCUUCCGCAAUGGGCGAAAGCCUGACGGAGCAACGCCGCGUGAGUGAUGAAGGUCUUCGGAUCGUAAAACUCUGUUAUUAGGGAAGAACAAAUGUGUAAGUAACUAUGCACGUCUUGACGGUACCUAAUCAGAGAGCCACGGCUAACUACGUG
This 497-nucleotide ribosomal RNA is filed under the name uncultured bacterium. Its description in RNAcentral is "partial 16S ribosomal RNA". It matches the Rfam family "Bacterial small subunit ribosomal RNA", at positions 28 to 507 of the family's 1533-position model. The record is from RNAcentral.